Molecule: ribosomal RNA, 421 nt
Filed under: uncultured Bacteroides sp.
Lineage: Bacteria; Pseudomonadati; Bacteroidota; Bacteroidia; Bacteroidales; Bacteroidaceae
Description: bacterial SSU rRNA
Rfam family: Bacterial small subunit ribosomal RNA
Source: RNAcentral
GAGGAAUAUUGGUCAAUGGGCGCGAGCCUGAACCAGCCAAGUAGCGUGAAGGAUGACUGCCCUUUGGGUUGUAAACUCCUUUUAUAAGGGAAUAAGGUGAGGCCCGUGUGCCUUUUUGUUUUUCCUUUAGGAAUAAGCACCGGUAACUUCCGUGCCAGCAGCCGCGGUAAUACGGAGGAUGCAAGCGUUAUCCGGAUUUAUUGGGUUUAAAGGGAGCGUAGGCGGACUAUUAAGUCAGCUGUGAAAGUUUACGGCUCAACCGUGAAAUUGCAGUUGAAACUGGUCGUCUUGAGUGCAGUAAAGGUGGGCGGAAUUCGUGGUGUAGCGGUGAAAUGCUUAGAUAUCACGAAGAACUCCAAUUGCGAAGGCAGCUCACUGGAGUGUAACUGACGCUGAUGCUCGAAAGUGUGGGUAUCAAACA